RNAcentral lists this transfer RNA (71 nucleotides) under Kitasatospora griseola. It matches the Rfam family "tRNA". From Rfam's summary of the family: Transfer RNA (tRNA) molecules are approximately 80 nucleotides in length. Lineage: Bacteria; Bacillati; Actinomycetota; Actinomycetes; Kitasatosporales; Streptomycetaceae. The record is from Rfam by way of RNAcentral.
GUCUUCGUGGUGUAGCGGUAACACUCCUGUCUUCCAAACAGGCUUCGCCGGUUCGAUCCCGGCCGGAGACU